GUGGUGGUUCUCAUUUAGGGCGCUGCCCUUUUUUCGCCUCCAUCUCCCUGUUGCGCCCCAGUUAUAUCCACUUCAAACGUCCAAAGUGAAUGAGGGCACCUGGGAGCUGGUGCAAGAGCCGCACAAGCUUGGGACUGUCAAGAUAUCACUGCAGGAAAAAGAGAAAUACACCAUCAGAAAUUCGGGGCCAAGCGCUGUGACUCACCGUUCCCCUCUGAGACCCUCUGGGAAGAAUUUACGAACACAUCCUGUCCUUGUCCCAGCAGGCAGGGGACAAAAGAAGUGAACUGAAGCGCUCCCUUCAGCGUAUGAGGAAAAAGCUCCAGAUGCUACUGGACACCGCAAUCCAAAUCAACUCUUCCUGUGGCUGCCCAUCCUGGCCAGCAUCCCUGGAGCUAGUGCCAACAAGGAGGGCCAGUGUUGGAAAAGCGAACCCAGCUGAAGAUUUACAAAUAUUCCCUUGCUGCCUCUUCAAGCAAGUCGAACAAGGCCAGAUCUGAUGAGUGGGGAGAGGAUCAGACAAGGUCACCUUUAGUUUUAACCCAGCCGGCCAGAUCACGAUUUGUGUGAAAAGCAGUGCUCGGUAGUGUCGGAAACCAUCGAGAGGGAGAAGUCCUAUUCGGAAGCUAGAGUGAACGAGGCUACCUUGCAGUAAACAGGUGAUGGGUAAUGACUUGGGGCAGGGGUGUAAUAAUAAGAAUA
Ornithorhynchus anatinus (platypus) is the source of this 702-nucleotide long non-coding RNA. RefSeq lists it as uncharacterized. The record is from RefSeq and is a predicted model, not a curated record. NCBI's taxonomy places the organism in Eukaryota, Metazoa, Chordata, Mammalia, Monotremata, Ornithorhynchidae. The transcript is spliced from 6 exons.